AGGAGCAACUCUAAACUCCGCCUCCUCUCAUCUCAGACAACAACGUCCCGGACGAAGGAUUAAAGGAAAGCUGUAACUAUCAGAACAACUUGGAUUGAUUAUAGGAAAACGCCAAUGAUCACGUGCUGAAGACAGACCGGAGCUUUGAUCCACCCUGUACGGUGACGACAUCCAGAAACGAGCUCCCCUGAAGAGGAAAUGGACGUGAGCACAAUGAUGGACAGGCCGAGGUCACCAGGCUGUGAGUCUGCAGCGAGCAACUGGUCAGCGGAUCGACCUAUUGACUUUAAAGGACAGGUGAACCCAGAGGUUAAAAGGUAAACAAUCUGCUGUGUGAACUGCUUUACGUUGUAGCAGCUUUGCUCAUUUCAAUUGAGAA
Long non-coding RNA from Pygocentrus nattereri (red-bellied piranha), 379 nucleotides. The record is from Ensembl. Lineage: Eukaryota; Metazoa; Chordata; Actinopteri; Characiformes; Serrasalmidae.